CUGCCUCUGCCUCUCAAGUGCUGGGAUUAAAGGUGUGCUCCACCACUGCCCAGCUUUCCUGCUUCUUUUUACAUAAAGAAUAUACUGAGCCACUUUCGUCAUUAACACUUUAAAGGUGUUAAGUAAAGAUCCGAUGCUUUUAUGUCACCUGCUCUCUCUGAUGUGUACAGACAUUUGUUUGAGGUAACUGAGCGACUCCACUGUGGGCGCCAUGUAACACCUUACUAUUGAGUUGCUGCAUCCUGUCUGUGACUUCUCUAGUUCUGUUUCUGAAGUCUCAUUUCUCUCUUGUGGCCCCUGGCCUCCUAUCCCUGCAUCCCACUCACACACCAUGGUCCCUCGAGGUCAGCUCAAUGGCACCAGGCACCCAGAGUGGUCCUGCUAAGUCCAUGGUCCUAGGCUCCUAUCUUCAUUCACCAUGAGCCUUUACUCAGUCUGACUCUGGUUGUCUGUGAUGCUUGCUUGCCAUUUUCACCUUGGUUAGGUUAGGAAACAGCCCCUGUAAAGGCAUCCAGGGAGGGUUAGGGAGUGUGUGCAGUGCUGGUCUAUGGAUCCGACUGAAUAGGUAGAGGAAAAAAGAUGUGAAUGGGUCAGGUGUCAGGAUCAUCGCUCUCUGCUCUCUGCCCCUCUGGUGUGUGAGAGCUCCAUGCUCCUGCUGCCACAGCUCAUGCUGGGCUCAGUCCUUCCUCCUCAUUGCGGGCUCUACUUCAGACUGUGACCAAAUAGCCUUCCUUAAGUACUUUCUUGUCAGUUACUUGCCGUAGCAUUGAGAAAGGGGACUAGUUGGCAUACUAUAGUUAUAUAUGUACUAACGUAUGAAAGUAAAUACCAGUGGGAGGUAAAUUUGCAGGGAUAUUAGUCUUGGUUCACUUGAUCAGUGAGUAUUUAGAACAUAUGAUCACAUGGCUGAGUAGGACCCUUAGGUACAUGCACGUUAGGCCUGUCCAGCCACCAGAAUCGAGGUAGUCUGGGGUCAGCUCCUGUCUUCUUGGGGAGCCUGGACAGGUUCAUUCCGUGCUGUACAAAGACGCCAUUUGUACUGCUUGCGUGAGAGAAUGUUACUGUUUCUUCCACUUUUUUGUUUCAGUUGCCCAAGUCCUGAGCCACAGUCCUCUCUGGCUGGCUGUGUGAUAGAUUUUAAAGGUCACACAAAAUGUGGCCUCUUCCUCUUCCCCUUGAGUCAAGGGAGAAGCACAAGAAUAAUCAAUAAUUCUAAAAGGCAAAAAGCAUCGUUGUUGCUGUUUUAAAUUUAGUUCUUGUCUUAGCUUACUUAGGUCUCUCCUGGAUUCUGAGCUUGUAGGAGUCGGCCUAUGCAACUCGGAAGGAUCCAGAAACUAUCAAUACUGGCUCCUGGGUGUGACAAUGUUUCUGCACUUCCCUUUACUCCCAAAUAAAACCACUUAGUGUGGCGGCUAGGCCCAGCCUGGUAUCCCAGUCUGAUAUCCUUCCCACGUAGGGCUUGUGCCCCCCUCUUCUCCCUAGCUCCCACAGCAUUGCCCCAUGCCUGCCUCCCAUCAGGCAGCCUGUCCAGUGGGAUCAUUUCAGUCUACAGAUGCUUAAAAUCCAGACAGUUGGAAAGUCUUCCGCCUCAGUCACAUUGUUAUCAAAAAGAAGAGAGAAACGUGGGUAAGGCGUGGAGAAAAGAAAAUCCUUGUCCAUUGCUGUUGGGGCUGUAGACUUACAGAGUCAAUAUGGAAAGCAGAAGUGCUCCCGCGUGUGCGUGCGCAAAGGAAGGCAGUCUGUGCUGUAAGGAAACCUGCAGUGCAGUCCGCGUUCACUGCAGCAGUGACAACUGUGGCCAGAUACAGAGUGUCCACGGGUGGAUGUGUGGAUACAGAAAAUGUGAUAAACGUACACUGGAAGAUCCUUCACCCUGUAAUAAGGAGGAUAUUCUGCCAUGGCCACAACGUGUGUGAGCUGAGGGCCUUCUACUAAGUGGUAUAACCCAGGCACAGGAGGAAGACAGCUUGAUCUCGCUUGUACACGGGAUCUCAAAGGCAAAAGCUAGGUGUUUACUACACAGAGAUGAUUCUGGAGGCAAGGUGAUAGCUACGGCCAUAGAGGUCAGGGUAGGAAGAAAAUGUAGGGCUGGGGAAGUCUCAGAUCUGAUGGACACCAAGGGGGUUGAAGGCAAUAGCGCUGUUAGAUUAAGGGUUUUUGCUAUAAAGAGUAUAGAUUAGAUAUUCUACAUGCAUAUGCGUUCACACGCAUGUGCGCACAUAAUAAAAAUGAACACAUAAAAUUAAUUUGUUUAUCUUUGUUAACCAUUUAUGUAUAUAUAAAUCAUCACACUGUAAACAUUAAACACAUACAAUUUAAAAAUCAAUUCUUUGCUAACUGUUGAAAAAAUAAGGCAUGCAGGACAUACUUUCUGAUGUGUUCCAAUUUCAUAUAUUUAUCUUAGUACAGGGCCAGCUGUUCUCAUUUCUGUUCAGGAAACAUGAUAAUCAGAGAUUCAUUUCUAACCACCAUACUUUACUCAGAUUACACUAAAUCUAUAGUAUACAAAGUGUCUCUGGGACUAAUUAAUGUUUUUAAAUGUUUACCUAAAGCACAUAGAAAUUGUAUACAUUUCUCAAAAAGAGAAAAGAAAAAUGACCCAAGGGCCAGGCAGGCUUUGCAGCAGGGGAUGUUUUGCUCGGUUCCCUGAGGUGCUCAUCAGUCUGUGUUUUCCCAUGUGAUCUAGGAGGUUAAUGAAGGCACUGUGGGGCCCAUUGUUAUUUCUGCACUGUGAAUUGAUUAGCCAGAGGAUGUACAGUGUGGCAGUGUGUGGCCAGGCCUGUGUGUCUCUGGCAGUGGCCCAACAGACUUUGAAGAUAGCAUGCUGCUUCCUAGUCACGACCUCUCGGCCAUGUGCUGUGUUGUGGGUGCUCCUGGUGCUGUGCCAGCUCCUUACCGAUGCUGGCAGGAGUCCUGGCUGUGUGGACACAGUAGAGACCUUUCUCGGAAAGUCAAGUUCAGCCCUUGCUGUUUGCUGGUGAAAGUGCAUCUGUCUGGACUACUUCACUUCAGUAAGCGUGGGCUGGGCCCCUGCCUUGUGCCAGGCACGGGGCCAGGCAGUGGGGAUUCAGCAGAGAAAUGAGGAGUCCCAGGCAGUGGAGACUAGCUGACUGUAGAAGCUCAUCUUAGAGCCAAGGCAAAGUCAAAACCAGAAGCUUCGAACGUGAGGAAGGUGUCGGGGUUCACUGCCCAGCCUCAGCGCUUUCACCCUUUUGAAGUUGGGAGACGGCUCCUUUUGGGAUCAGUCUUUCGAACCUCCAGCAAACUAUGGCCCCAUCCCAUCAGAGUUGAGAGAAGUGAGUGGCUUCCUGUUGUGUGGGGCCCUACGGUUUCCAUCAGAGUCCCAUUUUAAACACACAGAAGGAAAAGUAUCCUGAUUGGAAACCUGACCACACUUGUCCCCUUGUCCUAAUUUCAGUGGCCAGCUAAACAAAGCAGCGCUUCUGGGAAAGAGCUGUGAGAAGGGUUACCAAGAUGAAGCUGGAGGGAUGGCCUCCCCAGGGCAAAGACACACUGACUCGGACUGCAGGGAACGUGUGUGUGUCUGUCACUGUGAGUGUGCUGGCUUGUGCUGGUCAUGUGUGCGCACAUAGCCCCUAGAAGGGACUCUGCUAGAUGUCACCCGGCUACAUCCUUCAACACGCACGGCCUUCUCUAAAGCUCCAGGAAAGAAGGUUGUCCAAGUUUCUCUUCCUACCAAAGCUGAGUGAGUGGCUUCUGGAAGCACCUGGCUUGGUUCUGUUGGGCUGCCGGCAGAACCAGAUUCACUGGGCACCGGUGUCCCUGCCGUGAAGGCUGCCAUGCACACCUGAGUGCCUUAGCCUUCUUUCUGCAGGUCUCUUCUCCACAAGAGUUGGCAGUGGCCCUGGUGCAUGCUUCAGGGAGCUGGUAACAAGAACACUUGAGGAUGUACCCAGCAGAGUGACCCGUCCCUGCAAGCACUUUGGGUGCCUCACCCAGCACUGGCCAGUGAAGGAAGCAAGCAAGCCGUCCUCCACCACCAGCCAAGUUACCUGAUGCUUCAUCUCCUGCCCCAGUCUUGUCAUACCUUACCCUUCCUCCUAUACUGGGGAGCCAUCUGAAGCUAAAGGAAGAGAGAUUGCACCUAAAAGGUGCCCGGGUGUCAGAUACUGCAUCCCGCACACGGCCCUCACAGCCUAUCCUCUGGGAUAGAAUGUUGAGUUCUGGAGGAGCUGGGGCAGGACACACUGACUGGUUCAGAGUCCUCUGUCUGCUCCUCCACUAUGCAAACGCUCGGCCACGUGACGCUGUGUCAACACCGCUGAGCUCGGCUCCAUUUAGCCGAUUCCCCAGACACUCAUUUCACAGGCACAGGGAAACCAGAGGUGCUCUUAUGUAAGAGGACCUGAGCGGGGAGGGAGGCAGGGAGCUUUGUGAGUACACAUUGCUGUGACAGAGGGCUUCAGGGAGCUCUCGGGAAGAGUCGGGGAAGGAGGAACACUUCACAGUCAGGGGUUCUGAGGGGCCCCCACCAUGCAUGCUUGGUUCCUUCCUGGGUGGAACAGGUCAGGCUUAGGAAGGACCUGGAGAUGGGAAGAUCUGGCUCUGCAGGGACCUUAAGACCCCAGAUCCAGCCCAGGGUCCCAAAACGGAGAGGCUCACAGCCAGCAGGGAGUGCUCUCAGUGAGAGCUUUGUCCUUCUGUAGAGGAUGGUAAAUUUGAAAAUUUCCAGGAUCCCAUAGGUGCCCACCUGUGUGUAAGAUGGGGCUGAGUCUGCCUUCUUCCUGUGUUCCCUUGUCUGAGCAGGCGAGGCCUGGAGGCCUGGCACAGCCAAUCAGAGUCCUGCUCGUGAGGCAGGCAUCUCUUGGUCUUGGGCAAGGGUCAGGGAAUCUCUGGGAGGUUAGUGAGAGAUCAGGGAGGAGAAACCAGUAGAGGAUGCUGGCUAGCUCAGGGCAUGUGGAUUUCAGCAGUGCAGCCAGUCAGGGUCUGCUGGUGGCGUGUGGAGCCUGGCCUGGCCGUGCUAGGCAUGUUGCCUUUUUCUUUUCUGCUUCUUCCACAAGGUAUGUCCACAGCCCAGAUUUCUCCCUCUGGUGGAGACCUCUGAGAGGAAGCCAGUGUUAAGAACUCUGUCCUCGAGGGGAGCAGUUUGGACUCUCCUCUAGCCCUGGGUUUGUGGUCAUAGGCUUUUCCACAGUGUGGGCUAGAUGCAGAUGCACGCCCAACUGACAUGGAUGUGGCCCAAUGAUGACACUUCCUCUGUGGUCAGCAGUCAUGCAGCCUGAACUGCCACAGGGAAGAAAGUAAAAGGACAGCUGGGCCCCAAGAGGAAAGGCGUCCCUGCACAGAGGGCUCCAAAAGGAAGGUUGGAAGGCUUGUGUCCAGAACUGAUGGUGGGUUUGAACACCUUCCUUGGACAGUGGCUGGAGCUGGUAUCUAACUUUAAUACCAGUUUUGAUCUGGGUCUCAAGUUCCACACCUCACAGUCAUUCACACCCUCCUUGUCUGGUCUGGGUGGGCCCAGGCCACACCCCUUCUUCUCCUGUGCACUCUCCAGGUAGUCGCUGGCACACCUGUGUAGACAGAAUUCUGACUCCAGCACACGUGGGAAGAGGCUGGGAGAGCCAUCUUUGCCUUCUGGAAGGCACCCCAGACUAGGCAGAGACUCAGAAGAAUCAUCUGGAAACCCGAAGAGUAGAGGCAGGCAGGACGUCGCUGACGAGGAGCCGAGGAACACACUGCAGUUUAACAGGAGGAGCCUCUCCCUAGAAAGCUGGCAUUGGGGAAGUGGCAAAGAGAACAUCUAAGCCUGUGGGCCUGGGUGAAGCCCAGGUUAGCGUGGCCAGGAAGGAGGAUAGGCGUGUUUGUCUUGGGCCACCUGGAGAAAGGGCCAAGCAGGCCAGCAUCACCAGCUGUCCUAGCUCCCAAACCUGGCCCUGAGAUUGGGAACAUGUGCAGGGGUUGGAGAGCACAUGGGGGUGCCACUGAUGGUUCCCAGCAGUGGGCGUCACACCAUUAAGACCUCAGACCAUGAUCCUGCAGUCUGAGGAAGUGGUCGGGAAAUGGACUAGGGUUGAGGAAGCCAUGUAGAGGUCGUAUAGAUCAUGUUAGGGGAGAGGGGACUGAGUUCCUUGGCUGUGACUAAGCCAUUAGGUUGGGAAAGAGUGCCUUCAGCGAAGCCCCCUCUACCAUAAGACUCCAUGUUUCUAUACCAAAAGGAAGGAAGGGAAGAGGCUCCAGGGGUCAGAGAUGUUCUCUUCCUGGUUGUUCCCCUGCCCCAGCCCUUCUUCUCACACAACUGCCAUGAGGGAGGGGGGGGGGUAGGUCAAGCACCAUCUCAUGAGACCACCUAGAAGAGAAGGAACGAGGAAGGACUAGGCAGAAGUGUAUCCGGACAGUGAGCACCUCGUGUGCUACUCCUAAAAACAGCAAACAGCGAGAUGAUGCUCAUGGGAGACCGCCCAUACCCCAAUACUGAAUAUGUCAGGGGCUUUGCUGUCAACGAUAAUCAGAUUUCAAUCAAAAGUGAGUAACCAACCCUAGCAAAACCCACGGCACACUCAGCACACUGGUGGCACAUCCGGUGACAGAUGAAUGUCGGGGUUCAGUGACCAGCGUCCCCUUGAAAUUCACUUCUGCAAGCUACAUGGCACCAGGGCUUCAGCACAUGACAGGAUCCUCCAGCUGAUGAGUCCACUGAGCAGUUUUGGAAAUUGAGACCCCAGGACAGGCUGUGGUUCUGCCAAGGUCACCUGCUGAUGGUUGCAGGGCCCACACGUGCUCAGAUAAGAGCAGAAGGGGUGUGAGUCUGGCAACCUCACUGCCCAGUGAACUUGAAUUGUGCUUCUGUGAUCUCGUCAGACAUGUUGGACACUGCCUGCAUUGUUUCAUGGCGUCCUCCCAACAUCCCUGGGUACAGUCCAGAAGCCAGGGGCUUGUGUAUAGAAGCCAGGCACGUGGAGAAUGACAGUUCUCCAGACAAUUUCCAGGGUGAUAAGUGGAGGACCAAAAUUUGAAUGUGGUCCAAGCUGAGCCCAGCUGCCCCUCCAGCCCAGCAUUCUUGACCUGGUCAUGCACUGGUGAUGUAAGGAGGAGCCAGCCCCUCUCCCACAUCUGCUCCAUGGCCGGGAGCAUGUUACUUCUAGGGAUCAUUUUCCUGGGAGCCCCUCCACCCAAGGCUGUACAAGAAUAAGAGGAUGCAGCAAGCGUUAGUAUAGAAUUUGCAAAACACUUCAAAUUGUCAUAUUGCCUGUUUUAUGGUCAUUAAAAAAUAAUGGUGUUGGUACUA
Molecule: long non-coding RNA, 7246 nt
Organism: Mus musculus (house mouse)
Lineage: Eukaryota; Metazoa; Chordata; Mammalia; Rodentia; Muridae
Product: predicted gene 15742
Exons: 2
Source: RefSeq, a predicted model, not a curated record